UUUUCCUCCCAACGGACACUU
Molecule: non-coding RNA, 21 nt
Filed under: Caenorhabditis elegans
Lineage: Eukaryota; Metazoa; Nematoda; Chromadorea; Rhabditida; Rhabditidae
Source: RNAcentral